Molecule: long non-coding RNA, 2815 nt
Organism: Lynx canadensis (Canada lynx)
Lineage: Eukaryota; Metazoa; Chordata; Mammalia; Carnivora; Felidae
Exons: 3
Source: RefSeq, a predicted model, not a curated record
ACACUUCUGCGUGAGGAAACUGAGGACCAGAGAGGUCGUCCCUCCGGCCUGAGGCCACACAGCAAGUCAGAUGCAGUGCUGGGAUUGGAUCCAGUCUCUCGACUCCCACUGGAGGCAAGACCCAGCCCUGUGCUACCUGUCAUCACCUCACCAGAGCCACUGGCAUCACGCUGUGGAAGAACAGGGACACUAGUGUUUGCUAAGUAUCAACUGUGUGCCGGGCCCUGUGUAGCCUUUGCGUGUAUGGGUUCAGUUGCUUCCCCCAUCCCAUCUGGAAGAGAGGUAAUAUGCUCCCCAUUUUACAGGUGGAGAGACCGAGGCUAAGAAAGGUGAAGUUACUGAGAUCAAGUCCCAGCAGGAAUAAGGAUAAUGGGAUCUGUGGCUGACACGAGGGACAGGUUCCUGGAGUUGCUCCCUGGAGAGGCCCCCCCCCCCCUCGCCACCCUCACGGUGACCUGAUUUGGGGGCUGCCACUAACAGGAGGAUGUCUGCAGACAGGACACUGAGCGGAGUGAGGGACACUGUGGCCGAACAUUGGGAGAAUACCAAACAAAGAUGGCGGGGAGGCUCAGUUCCUCAUGAUGUCUCCGGGCUCGAGCCUGGCCAGUCCCACAGCAGAAGGAAAACGAGCUGUGGUGUAUCUCGCACCUGCCCGGGCUAGAAGUGACUUCCGCUGGUUCUGCUCACAGUGCAUUGGCUGGAAUUAGUCACACGGCCUCGCCAACCAGCAGGCGUCUGGCAGAAAGGCGGGGGAGCUAGAACAAUGUGCGGAGCGGCCCCCCUGAGGUCCCCAGUAUACCUCCCGCCUGGCAGAGAGCCUAGACGGGAACACAUUUUUGAUGAAAUAGUUUCCAGCCCAACCAGUGUCCCCAGAGUAGCGUUUGCCAAGGCACCGAUGACCUUUGUAUCGCUACCAGCGGUGGACGCUUUUCAGUCCUUGUCUGCCUUGACCUUGCGUGUAACACCUCGCUUUCCUUCUUAAUACAGGUCUCUUGGCUUCAGGACGCAAGGCUGGUCUGAUUUUCUUCCUACCCCUUGGGUCACCGCUUCCCUCCUCCUUUGCAACUUUCUCCACCUUCCUCCACCUGGCCUUCCAUUUUGGAGUUUCCCAGGGCACGGACCUCCCUUCUCCUCACUCAACUUUGUUCUCAGCAGCCCUCGUCCACCCCCUGGGCUUGGAUGUCUCCUCAGCUUUCACCGGAUUCAUCUUCCUUCUGAGCUCCAUGAGCAUAUGUCCCACUGUCUACUUGGCGUCUUCUUGAGAAUCUUCAACGUUACCUGAAAUUUAAUAUGCUGAAGACCAAAGGGUCUUCCUCCCUCCACCCCUGGUCCGUAAGGCUGGCCCUCCCCCCAGGGCUCCUCAGCUCACUAGAUGGCAAUGCCAUCCACCUGCUUACACAAGCCAGUGUCAUCCUUGGCCCUUCCCUCUCUCUCCCACACCAUUUCAUGUUAACCUCCUCACUCAGCCCUGCCAAUUUUACUUCUUCGGCAUCUCUCCACUCCAUCCACCCUCUCUCUCCUGCUCCAUCACUAGUCCGUGUGGCCUCGGUGUCCCAUCUGGUUGCUGUGAGGUCCCUCGGUGACCUCCGUGCCCAUCGAACCCUACCCAGAUGUUCUUCAUGCUGCAAUCUGAGGGAUCCUUUCAAGAUGCAAAUUUGAUCACACAUUCCCUCUCCCCAUUCAAUAGCCCCGCCAUUGCUCUUGGGAAAAGGAUGAAAUCCUGGUCUCUGCUUGCUUCUCAUCCCAUCUCACUCCUGGCACAGCGCCUAGCACAUAUUAGGCACUUGGUAAGUAUUUUUUUGAUUGGUAUAAGAGAAAUUGGCUAUCGGUUCUGUGGUGUUAGUUAGAUCAUUUUACUAUUUUUACUAUUAAGAGGUAGCCCGGUAUGGCUUUCCCUGAAUACUGAGGCUGGUUCAGGAUCCCUUGGAAGGACCAACGGGCACUCAUAGGGGGCCACUGUUGAAAUCCGGGCAGUUGGUGCCGGGGCCUGGGGGGUGAUGGGGUGGUCCUCUCAUGUAGCCUCUGUCCAGGAUCGGAACCCAGGCACUCUGAGCUGAGAACCAAGCUCCUCAUGUUUACACUGUUCUGCCCACUCCCUGCACUUGGCACAGAGGAGGUGACAACAUGGUGGCCUGUGGAUGGAACCCAGCAGAAGCAGGGGGGAAGGCUGCUAGCUGGGGGGUGAGUCAGCCCUCUCCCUGUGGUCUGAGGCUGUCAUCAGGAACCGCGACAGUCAUUUCUUUCUUUGUGGCUUUGAGGUCUGGGGGCAGAGGGUGUGGGCUCCUGAGACCCCUCGGGCUGCCAUGGAGAGCUCAGUGUGUUGGGACCCGGGGAUACAGGAGGGACUCUGGGGAGUCCCUGGGGGAGCUGUCCCCCCCUCCCCACUGGCUGUGGACCUCUAGGACAGUGAGGGCUCCAAGUGUGCAGAGGGUCGAAUUUCAUCUUAACUCCCAAGGAGGCUCCUGCCCCCGUUCUCCAGCUUACAGAUUAGGAAACUGAAGCAUGGAGAAUUUAAGGGACCGGCCCAAGUCCCCGUGGAUGUUCAGUGACACCGCCGGACUUGGUGCCAGGCCUGCCUGGUCCCCGAAGCCGCCCUCUCUCCCCUGUCCCAUGCCAGCCCCUCUGGGGGCAGCUCUGCCUCUCCUCUGAGGGGCCAAGAGGAAGAGAAAGUGAGGGGCGGAGCGAGGAGCUGGGUCCUGGCAGGAAGGGGAUUUGCCCCAAGGGUUCAGAUGAGGGAACUGAGGACAGAGGUUUCUCACGGAGGGGUGAGGGGUUGUGCAGGACGGAGGGACCCGUGAGACGGGCUGAGGCACCC